This 443-nucleotide ribosomal RNA is filed under the name uncultured bacterium. RNAcentral describes it as "partial 16S ribosomal RNA". It matches the Rfam family "Bacterial small subunit ribosomal RNA", at positions 28 to 507 of the family's 1533-position model. The record is from RNAcentral.
GAUGAACGCUGGCGGCAUGCCUAACACAUGCAAGUCGAUCGGUAAGGCUCUUCGGAGUACACGAGAGGCGGACGGCUGAGUAACGCGUAGGAACACACCCUGCAGUGAGGGAUAAGACACCGAAAGGUGUUCUAAUACCGCAUACGGUCUUCGGAUUAAAGCAUUUAUGCGCUGAAGGAGUGGCCUGCGUCAUAUUAGAUAGUUGGUGAGGUAAUGGCUCACCAAGUCGAUGAUGUGUAGCUGGUCUGAGAGGAUGAUCAGCCAGACUGGAGCUGAGACACGGUCCAGACUCCUACGGGAGGCAGCAGUGAGGAAUAUUUCACAAUGAGCGAAAGCUUGAUGGAGCAAUGCCGCGUGCAGGAUGAAGGCCCUCGGGUUGUAAACUGCUUUUAUAAGAGAAGAUUAUGACGGUAACUUAUGAAUAAGGGACGGCUAACUACGUG